GAAUUUAUUUUGUUGCUGCUUUUCAGUUUUGCACCUGGGAGCUGCUCCUUAAAUCGAAUAGCAAUUUUGUUUUUUCUUUUCAUAGAUUGGUCACCUGAACGCCGCUUUAAGCUAUAGUGACGUCAGAAUGAGUCGCGAGAUUCCAGUCACAUUGAAAGGUGCUUUGAGUGCUAAUGACGUCAGAGUGGCAGAGAAUGGCACAAUACAAGAUGCUUAUCCACCUCGGUCAGUUAUUCAACUGAUUGAAGCCAAGGGAAAUAUGGACUCGACAAUAUGACCCGGACGACACACUCAAGUUGUCGAGGAUUGAAGCAAUGACGUGAAGAUCGACAUGGAGCGGCCUUCGUCUUAUUUAUUCGUUGGUGAUCACCAACUCAAACUUUCAAGGCUAAUUCCUUGUCAAUAUUUUGUAUUGAAACAAUAUUUGUUCGUGUCCCAAUUGAACGCUGCAUGUUUUUGUUUUAAAGUUUCACUGAAGAAAAAAAUAGCUUUUACUUUUAUAUUUACAGCAAAUUUUAAACACAGACCAAUGUCGUGAUUAGUUUGUAAAUAGGAUCAUAGUUAAGGAUGAAACAGUUUAACGACAUGGAACAUUCCUUGCAGUUUAAUUUCCACCGAGGAGUCGCAGAAUGUUUUACUAUUAAACUUUUUUUUCAAGA
Molecule: long non-coding RNA, 659 nt
Organism: Orbicella faveolata
Lineage: Eukaryota; Metazoa; Cnidaria; Anthozoa; Scleractinia; Merulinidae
Source: RefSeq, a predicted model, not a curated record